AACAGGAACACAGAGUAUAGUAUAAGAUUCUUUCAAACAAACAUCUUUCUUUGCAGUAGAAUAAUAUGUAGGCAUACACUGUGGCUUGUGUAGGUCCCUUUUUACAUUCAACCUACAUGAUCCCUCUCCGCAAUUACAGCAGCUCACGGUUCAUCACAGUCUACAAUCACUUUCGUUCAAAGCCUCAACCUGUUUUUCUAUUGUAGCAGAAGAGGGAAAAACAAUCAGGAAAAAAGCAACAAUCUCAUUCAAUAUUAUCACUCUCUUUAGCCACGCUACCUGACUUACUAUGACCUUCAUAAAGUUACAUCCAAAUCCCUCAUCUUUUAUCCUCCAAAUAACACUGGAGAGUUUCCACACACCAUGGGUCAUAAAUCACAAUGCAGCACACACAGCCACACACAAUAGCACCAUAGCAGCAAAUAUGUUGUAGGAAAAAUUUGUUGAAGGAAAG
Sinocyclocheilus rhinocerous is the source of this 454-nucleotide long non-coding RNA. RefSeq lists it as uncharacterized. Lineage: Eukaryota; Metazoa; Chordata; Actinopteri; Cypriniformes; Cyprinidae. The transcript has 3 exons. The record is from RefSeq and is a predicted model, not a curated record.